CCUACGGGAGGCUGCAGUGGGGAAUAUUGGACAAUGGGCGAAAGCCUGAUCCAGCCAUGCCGCGUGUGUGAAGAAGGCCUUCGGGUUGUAAAGCACUUUCAGUGGGGAAGAAAGCCUUGGGGCUAAUACCCUCGAGGAAGGACAUCACCCACAGAAGAAGCACCGGCUAACUCCGUGCCAGCAGCCGCGGUAAUACGGAGGGUGCGAGCGUUAAUCGGAAUUACUGGGCGUAAAGCGCGCGUAGGCGGUCUGAUAAGCCGGUUGUGAAAGCCCCGGGCUCAACCUGGGAACGGCAUCCGGAACGGUCAGGCUAGAGUGCAGGAGAGGAAGGUAGAAUUCCCGGUGUAGCGGUGAAAUGCGUAGAGAUCGGGAGGAAUACCAGUGGCGAAGGCGGCCUUCUGGACUGACACUGACGCUGAGGUGCGAAAGCGUGGGUAGCAAACAGGAUUAGAUACCCGGUAGUC
RNAcentral lists this ribosomal RNA (464 nucleotides) under Vreelandella stevensii. RNAcentral describes it as "partial 16S ribosomal RNA". It matches the Rfam family "Bacterial small subunit ribosomal RNA", at positions 338 to 795 of the family's 1533-position model. The record is from RNAcentral. Lineage: Bacteria; Pseudomonadati; Pseudomonadota; Gammaproteobacteria; Oceanospirillales; Halomonadaceae.